Long non-coding RNA from Gasterosteus aculeatus aculeatus (three-spined stickleback), 699 nucleotides. NCBI's taxonomy places the organism in Eukaryota, Metazoa, Chordata, Actinopteri, Perciformes, Gasterosteidae. The record is from Ensembl.
CUGUGCGAGUCCUUCUUCCUGGAUCUGGUGAGGUAAAUCAAGCAGCAGGUUUGGUACGACGUCCUCACUGCAAAGGCGCAUAAAGGAGGCCGGACUCUGGGUCUGCCCGUCACCCUGGACACAGUUUCUGUGUUCCAGCGUGGCGGCUCGGUGGUCUGCAGGUCAACAGGAAGUGGUUCCUGCACAGCCGAACAGCAGCAGCUCCCCCUCUCUAUCACGGUGGCCCUGAACUCUGAGGUGAGCAUCAAAGGGUUUCAGGUAGGCAAAUUAAAUACAGGUUACUUUCUGACCAAUAGUGAUACAGAACAAUGUCUUCAAUGUCUUGUAUUAAAGUCUUUGUUAAUGGCUGACAUUUUAGAGACGUUGUUGAACGUGCUGCUUAUGAGAUGUGUAUAUAUACAUAUUUUACUGUGCGGCGUGUUUGUACCCCGUCUCCAUGGUGACGGAAUGCUCGCCCCACAUGAGUGUGUAUUAUUCCAACAUUCAUUUGCAUACGGAAUCAGAAUAUUUGCAAACGGAAUCAGAUGUUUCUGUUCAUUGUCUUACUGAGUUCAGAGGGAGCAGUUCAGAUAUUUUCUCCAGAGAAUUUAUCAGCGACAUCUGUCCGUUACAGAGUUAAGUAGCCUUUUGAAAGAUUCAACACCCUUUUUCACAGACCACAUUCAGUCAGUCAUUUACCAUCAAAACAAAAACCUUUUU